CCUCUGGAGCAGGACAGGAAGGAGGGAUACCCACUAGGCUAUUAGUCCUUCGAGUGAUCUCAUCCUGCAGGAGAACUGCUAACGUGGAGCCAGUGGACUCCUCUCCAUCCGAGCACAUAGCAGCCUGCUACAAAGAGACGGUCUUUCUCUGUGACCAUUUGGACGUUUGGCUGGAUCUCUCCAAUGCUUAGGCAUCUCUGCCUUUGGGACAAGCUCUUCAUGAAAUCCUCACAUUGGACUCGGACAGAAGACCAAGAAUGAACCAUCAGUACACACCCAGAGUCACCCAGCUGCUGAAGCUUGGAGCUGAGGCCCAUUCCCAACCGGAACACACCCAUUCCCAUUGAUCAAGAAACUAAGGCUCUGAAAAGUUAGGCUAUCAUUCAAGAUUAAGGUACUCAAAGCUCAAGCGCCUGGUCCAUGCACAGCUUCAAGGACUUGAACCUGACCUGAGUGUCCAGGGAAUGAGGAAAAGACUAACAGAGACAGACACACAUAAGAACAGGGAUUGGACAGGGCAUUGCAAACAGUGGACUCCUGGUAAAUGCCUGUUGAUCUGAGGUGUGUGUGACGCAGAGUGAGCUGAGCACAAAGACCAGGUUGAAACGCCUGUUUCCCUUGACUCCAGGCAAGUGACUUAAUCCUUGUCCUUCAGCAUACUCACUGGGCAAUGGGAUGACAAUAUGUACCACCAUGGGAUUGUUCUGAGGAAAUAAAUGAAAUGGAA
This is a non-coding RNA of Myodes glareolus (Bank vole), 727 nucleotides long. The record is from RefSeq and is a predicted model, not a curated record. NCBI's taxonomy places the organism in Eukaryota, Metazoa, Chordata, Mammalia, Rodentia, Cricetidae.